ACUCCUACGGGAGGCAGCAGUAAGGAAUAUUGGACAAUGCCCGCAAGGGUGAUCCAGCCAUGCCGCGUGCAGGAAGACGGCCCUAUGGGUUGUAAACUGCUUUUGUACGGGAGAAGACCCUUCUACGUGUAGAGGGCUGAUAGUACCGUAAGAAUAAGCAUCGGCUAACUUCGUGCCAGCAGCCGCGGUAAU
This 192-nucleotide ribosomal RNA is filed under the name uncultured bacterium. RNAcentral describes it as "partial 16S ribosomal RNA". It matches the Rfam family "Bacterial small subunit ribosomal RNA", at positions 335 to 524 of the family's 1533-position model. The record is from RNAcentral.